UACAGAGGGUGCAAGCGUUGCUCGGAAUUAUUGGGCGUAAAGGGUAGGUAGGUGGUCUCAUUUGUCCGGGGUGAAAUCCCUGAUUUCAAGUCAGGAAGUGCCUUGGAAACGGUGAGACUAGAGUCUUGGAGAGGGUCGCGGAAUUCCCGGUGUAGCGGUGAAAUGCGUAGAGAUCGGGAGGAACACCAGAUGCGAAGGCGGCGGCCUGGCCAAGAACUGACACUCAACUACGAAAGCGUGGGUAGCAAAC
RNAcentral lists this ribosomal RNA (250 nucleotides) under uncultured bacterium. RNAcentral describes it as "partial 16S ribosomal RNA". It matches the Rfam family "Bacterial small subunit ribosomal RNA", at positions 524 to 773 of the family's 1533-position model. The record is from RNAcentral.